UAGGACAGAUGUCAUGUUUACAAGGUCUUC
RNAcentral lists this non-coding RNA (30 nucleotides) under Rattus norvegicus (Norway rat). The record is from RNAcentral. Lineage: Eukaryota; Metazoa; Chordata; Mammalia; Rodentia; Muridae.